This 291-nucleotide transfer-messenger RNA is filed under the name Veillonella sp. It matches the Rfam family "transfer-messenger RNA". Rfam says of the family: Bacterial tmRNA, also known as 10Sa RNA or SsrA, is named for its dual tRNA and mRNA-like properties. Lineage: Bacteria; Bacillati; Bacillota; Negativicutes; Veillonellales; Veillonellaceae. The record is from RNAcentral.
GGGGAUGUAAAGGUUUCGACAGGGGUGCGUGUGGUAUAGAUAGCGAGUCGGCGUUCCAUGAGGCCGUUAAACGACGUCCCUCAUACUUGUGCCUACCAAGUGUGAAUGGACGUCAAACAGUAGGCUGGUCUAAUUUAGUUGUUCAUAUGAAUUAGGCGAGACAAUAUGAACUGGGGUUGUGUAGCUUGUCUGUGAGCGAUAGCAACCCGAGAUCUCAAUCAUAGACUGUGCUCGGAGAAGUCUAUAUGGCAACACUCUUGGACAGGGGUUCGACUCCCCUCAUCUCCACCA